This 242-nucleotide long non-coding RNA is filed under the name Setaria viridis. Its description in RNAcentral is "long non-coding RNA (SVIR_LNC001738)". The record is from RNAcentral. Lineage: Eukaryota; Viridiplantae; Streptophyta; Magnoliopsida; Poales; Poaceae.
UCGUGGAUCUCUCAUCUUCCGCUUGCUUGGAUUUGGGGUUUGAUUUUGGGACAGAGACCUAAGAUUUUGAAAGAAAUAUUUGAGGCUCCCAUUCACUCCCCCUCUGGUCGCUUUUUCGAUCCUUCAGUCCUUCAUGACUCUGCAUAGACUGAAACAAUCUAUCGCAAAGUGCUUGUGGUAUGGUUGCCAUGGGCAUUGUUUUUUUCAAGAGCUUGUUGAAUGAGGGCCGAUCUUGAUUCCUA